Molecule: unclassified non-coding RNA, 21 nt
Filed under: Mus musculus (house mouse)
Lineage: Eukaryota; Metazoa; Chordata; Mammalia; Rodentia; Muridae
Description: oocyte_clustered_small_RNA7062
Source: RNAcentral
UUGAGAGAAGCUCACCCGAGA